Molecule: ribosomal RNA, 458 nt
Filed under: uncultured bacterium
Lineage: Bacteria
Description: partial 16S ribosomal RNA
Rfam family: Bacterial small subunit ribosomal RNA
Source: RNAcentral
CCUACGGGUGGCAGCAGUGAGGAAUAUUGGUCAAUGGGCGAGAGCCUGAACCAGCCAAGUCGCGUGAGGGAGUACUGCCCUAUGGGUUGUAAACCUCUUUUGUCGGGGAGCAAAAGCCGGACGUGUCCGGCUGUGCGAGUUCCCGAAGGAAAAGCAUCGGCUAAACCCGUGCCAGCAGCCGCGGUAAUACGGGGGGUGCGGGCGUUAGCCGGAUUUAUUGGGUUUAAGGGGUGCGCAGGCGGGUUUUUAAGUCAGCGGUAAAAUCGUGGGGCUUAACCCCAUCCAGCCGUUGAAACUGGGGAUCUAGAGUGUGCGAGAGGUAUGCGGAAUGCGUGGUGUAGCGGUGAAAUGCAUAGAUAUCACGCAGAACCCCGAUUGCGAAGGCAGCAUACCGGUGCACAACUGACGCUCAGGCACGAAAGCGUGGGUAUCGAACAGGAUUAGAUACCCUGGUAGUC